Molecule: small nuclear RNA, 345 nt
Filed under: Saimiri boliviensis boliviensis (Bolivian squirrel monkey)
Lineage: Eukaryota; Metazoa; Chordata; Mammalia; Primates; Cebidae
Description: 7SK RNA (ENSSBOG00000002143.1)
Rfam family: 7SK RNA (bases 1-309)
About the family: 7SK was discovered as an abundant small nuclear RNA in the mid-70s but a possible function has only recently been suggested.
Source: RNAcentral
GGAUGUGAGGGCGAUCUGGCUGCAACAUCUGUCGCCCCAUUGAUCACCAGGUUGAUUCAGCUGAUCUGGCUGGCUAGAUGGGUGUCCCCUUCCUCCCUCACUGCUCUAUAUGUGUCCUCCCAAAGCUGUGCGCUCAGUUGAAUAGGAUGACCAUCCCCGAUAGAUGAGGACCGGUCUUCAGUCAAGGGCAUAUGCACAGCUGCCCUCCCCUGCUAGACCCUCCCAACAAGCUCUCAAGACUGCUGUCUACCAAUCUGUAUCCAGAAUUGGAAAAAAGCAAGAAAAAAAAAAAAAAAAGACUUGUCCCAGUGUGUUCCUCACCAAGUUAUAAAUUAGUUUUCAUUU